GCCUGGUGGUCGAGACACCUGGCUCACAACCUGAAGGUCGCUGGUUCGAGCCCCAGCA
RNAcentral lists this transfer RNA (58 nucleotides) under Oxyrrhis marina. The record is from RNAcentral. Lineage: Eukaryota; Dinophyceae; Oxyrrhinales; Oxyrrhinaceae.